Molecule: long non-coding RNA, 405 nt
Organism: Trachemys scripta elegans
Lineage: Eukaryota; Metazoa; Chordata; Testudines; Emydidae
Exons: 3
Source: RefSeq, a predicted model, not a curated record
CCCAGGCUCCAAAUCUGCUUUCUGAACCAACCCUGGGCCUGAGGGGUCCUGUAGCUCUUCUCUGACCUCACUGUGAUUUGUCAGUGUCUUUCCAGUGUACACACAAAGAUAUUUCCUUUGCAGGAGUCACCUAAGGGAAUGUCACCAGCUACCUUAGGCAGCAAAAAUGCGAGACAGAGCCAAACCAAAAUACUGGAUCCAAAGCGACUUACAUUUGAGGAAAGUUGGGAUCAGGAUUCAAACUUCAGAGUGAAGGCUGAUCUCUAGCAAGACAACAUCACACUGUUAUGCCAGUGUUUCAGCUCUGCCAGAAAAAGGACUAUCUCUGGGUAAAGGCCCAAUCCAACUCUCGGUGAAGUCUCUGGGGGUCUAUCAACUGACUUUAAUGGAGGUUCGGCAAGGUUC